This 1389-nucleotide ribosomal RNA is filed under the name Triticum aestivum (bread wheat). RNAcentral's name for it is "partial small subunit ribosomal RNA". Lineage: Eukaryota; Viridiplantae; Streptophyta; Magnoliopsida; Poales; Poaceae. The record is from RNAcentral.
AUGGGCAUGAACAUGGAAGAAGCAGGAGGCGCCGCUGGCACCGUCCGGACCGUGUCCCGGCGACUGGUCCGGCCGUCGAUCGGCGACGCGCCGCCGCCGGAGGACAUCCACCUCACGCCGUGGGACCUCCGCUUGAUCAGCGUCGACUACAUCCAGAAGGGCCUCCUCCUGCCCGCGCCUCCCGCCGGCGGCGACCGCCUCGUCGGCACCCUCGCGUCGUCCCUGGCGCGCGCCCUGCGCAGGUACUACCACUUGGCCGGCCGUCUCGCCGUUGAGGAGCGGGGCGACGGGGCCGUCAACGUCAGGCUGCGCUGCACUGGGGAGGGCGCCGAGCUCGUCCACGCGACGGCGCACGGCGUCGCCGUCGCGGACAUCGCCGGCUCGGUGUACACCCCGUCAUCGGUGGUCUGGGCCUUGUUCCCGUUGAACGGGGUGCUUGGCGCGGACGCGGCCGUCGAUUCGCUCCCCGUACUGUCGGCGCAGGUCACCGAGCUCGCCGACGGCGUGUUCGUCGGCGUGUCGUUGAACCACUCCGUCGGCGACGGCUUCGUCUUCUGGGAGCUCUUCAACACCUGGUCGGAGAUCAACCGUGGGGGAGGAGGAGCCAUCAGGGAUCUAAGCGAGAUCUCCGCACGGGUGCACCGGAGGUGGUUCACUGAUGCCAGCCCCGUGCCGAUCCCCCUGCCUUUCAGCAAGCUGCAGCACGUCGUCCGGCGGUUCGAUCCCCCGAUUAUGCAAGAGUGUUUCUUCACCUUCUCCGCCGCGAGCGUCAAGGAGCUCAAGGCGAGGGCGAACGACGAGAUGGCCGGCACGGCCACCGCCACCAUCUCCUCCCUCCAGGCCCUGCUCGCGCACCUAUGGCGGGCGGUGUCCCGAGCACGGCGCCUCCCGCCGGGGCAGGAGACGUCCUACACCCUGGCCGUCGGAUGCAGAGGGCGCGUGAGCGGCAUACCGCCGGGAUACAUGGGCAACGCGCUAGUGCCCGCGAAGGCGAGCGGCACCGUCGGCGAGGUACUGGGCAAGGGGCUGGGCUGGACGGCAUGGCAGCUGAACCGCGCCGUCGCGUCGUUCGACGAGGAGGCCAUGAGGGAGUGGCUGGAGAGCUGGACCAGGGAGCCGCAGUUCCGGUACUUUGGGAGCCUUAUGUCCGGAGGCGCGGCGCUGAUCACCGGGAGCUCGCCGUGGUUCGACGUGUUUGGGAACGACUUUGGGUGGGGGAAGCCGGCCGCCGUGCGUAGCGGCCGCGAGGGCAAGAUGGACGGGAAGGCGACGGUGUACCAGGGGCCGGAGCGGGGAGGGAGCAUGUCGCUGGAGGUCUGCAUCUCGCCGGACGCGAUGGAGAGGCUCGUCGCCGACGAGGAGUUCAUGGACGCCGUCAGACAUGGGUGA